GCCAGCAGCUUUCUAUGUGAAGCUAAGCAGGUUUGGGCCAGGCUAGUGCUUGGAUGGGAGACUAGGAAAUCUGGGUUGUUGCUGGAA
This 87-nucleotide ribosomal RNA is filed under the name Paramormyrops kingsleyae. Lineage: Eukaryota; Metazoa; Chordata; Actinopteri; Osteoglossiformes; Mormyridae. The record is from RNAcentral.